Molecule: long non-coding RNA, 2757 nt
Organism: Oncorhynchus masou masou (cherry salmon)
Lineage: Eukaryota; Metazoa; Chordata; Actinopteri; Salmoniformes; Salmonidae
Exons: 2
Source: RefSeq, a predicted model, not a curated record
ACAAAGACACACACACACACACACACAAUUAGAAAUUGGGAUUGUGUGCAACUGAUUGAACUCAGACAAAACGAUAACUUUCUUCUGCAUGUGCAGCAUCUCCCCUCCACGACCCCACACAUGACUAAAGUUUACAGACAAAAUAAACAGAAUUUCAGACAAAAUAAACAUUUCUUGAAAGCAUUGUUUACAAAUGGGAAAUGCAGUCAGAGGCUAUGAAGGUGCUGCAGAUGACAGUCCCCCCAGUUCUCUCUUUGCUGAAGCCAUGAGUGCACGUUUCAGUGCCCAACAGGUCAUAGAUCUGAGGAACAAGAGACCAAUGAUUUAGAAGAGGAGGAGGUAUCUGAAGAAGAAGAUGGGGAAGAAUACAACCCAGAGCACGAUGCAUCACCUUCAGAUGAAGAAGAAAUCCCCCAAGCUGAUUGAGAGGCAUUUUUGUCAAAGAACAGCAAAAUAACAUGGUCCUUGUCACCAUAUGACAACCAGGCCAGGAUAGCAGCACAAAAUGACAUAACGAUGACCCCAGGGCCCACAAGACAUGCAGUUGCCCAUGCCAAGGACAUCGCCUCAACAUUCUACAUGUUCAUCAUCCUGGAGAUGACAAAUUUGGAGGGUUUCCGUAAAAAUGAAGACAACUGGAAAAGGAUGGAUGAGAUUGACCUGCGUGCCUACAUAGGGCUGCUAAUCUUAGCGGAUGUGUAUAGGUCUCGAGGUGAGGCUACGUGUGGACUCUGGGAUGGAGAGAGUGGAAGGGCAAUUCCCCGUGCCACGAUGCCACUGGAAGUCUUUCACCCUUUCUCAAGAAUGCUACGAUUUGAUAACCGUGAGAACUGCAAGACGUGUGAGAGACAAACUGAGAGGUCUGGAAGAAGUGGGUGGAGCAUCUGCCGUACCUCUACAACCCUGGGCCUGAAGUAACAGUGGAGGAGCAACUGGUUCCAUUCAGAGGUUGCUGUCCUUUCCGGCAGUAUAUUCCCAACAAGCCAGCUAAGUAUGGCAUCAAGAUAUGGGUGGCCUUCCAGCUAUGCUGGAAGAUGGAAGUCUACACAGGGAAGCCGACCAGCGGAGGCACGGAGAAGAACCAGGGGAUGCGGGUUGUGCUUGAUGUGACAGAUGGACUUAGGGGGCACAAUGUCACGUGUGACAAUUUCUUCACCUCUUAUGAACUCAGCCAGCAGCUCCUGAAGAGGAAGAUCACCAUGGUUGGAACAAUUAGAAAGAACAAACCUGAGCUCCCCCCCUGCACCUUCUCAUCAAAGUUGGCCUUCACCCCCCACUCUAGUUUCUUACCUCCCAAAGAGGAACAAGAAUGUGGUCCUCCGGAGCACACUGCACAAAACGGCUGAGAUCAGUGAUCGUGAGGGCAGGACGCCAGCCAUCAUCCUGGACUACAACCACAACAAUGGAGGCAUGUACAACCUGGACAUGGUGAUUGGAACUUACAGCUGCAGGAGGAUGACAGCCCGCUGGCCCCUGGUCAUCUUCCAUAACAUCAUUGAUAUGUCCUCAUACAAUGCCUUCGUGACAUGGUAUAAGAUCAACCCUACCUGGAUGCCUGAUAAGCGGAACAAGAGGAGUGUGUUCCUGAGGUAGCUGGGAAAUUGCACUUGUAACCCCACACUUUCAAAGAAAGGAGCACCUCCCCUGCACAGCAGCCUCUGCAGCACUUGUGAAAGCUGUUCAGUGGGCUGAAUCUUGUCCUGAUCCACCGGAGGUUGCAGCUGGGGCAGGCAGGAGGAGGAGAUGCCAAUUCUGCCCCCCCCAAAGAAGGACUGUAUAACAAAUACUAUGUCCUGCACAUGUGAGAAAUACAUCUGCAAAGUCCAUGCUCACACACUUGCAUACUGUCCUACAUGUGCUAAUUAGAGUUGAUUGAUUUAUGUUCUUCAGGUUUUUGUUUUGUAUCUAUUAUAUUUUGCAGUUUAAUUCUUUAUUGUACAAAUUCUUUAUUGUACAAAAGUUAUGUUGUUUCCCUUCAAUAAAAUGCAUUCAAAACUACAUAAUGCACAUUUCUGUUACUUUCUUAGGCUAUACAAGUGCUAUCUCUUGCAAAAGAAUUAUGUUUACACCUAUGCAGUACCUUUAGCAGUAGUAAUAAUAAUAAUAAACCUCUACUUUAGUAAAGAAAACAAUUAUGACAGGUGUGUUAAAAACGAGUGGUGUCCACUGAUGCAGUCAAUGCAGUCUUUCUGCAUUGUGAAGAGUGACAGGUGACAAGUUGUUUCUUCAUGCAAAAUAGAUUUGGGGUUUAAAAUUCAAUUAAGCUGCUUCAUUUUAGGGGUUUAAUGAAGGCAGGUCAUUUUUUACCCUUAGGACAAAGGGAGUAUACCGAAUGUUAAGACUACACAAGGGAUGUCUUAAAGUAAUGGUGGACGAUCGUUUCUCUUUGCUUAUUUCAGCUGUUCUUACCAUAAUAUGGACCAAAUAGGGAUAUCUUCUGUAUACCACCCCUACCUUGUCACAACACAACGGAUUGCCUCAAAUGCAUUAAGGAAAGACAUUUCAAAAAUUAACUUUUAACAACUCACACCUGUUAAUUGAAAUGCAUUCCAUGUGACUACCUCAUGAAGCUGGUUAAGAGAAUACCAAGAGUGUGCAAAGCUGUCAUCAAGGCAAAGGGUGGCAAUUUUGAAGAAUAUAAAAUAUAUUUUGAUUUGUUCAACACUUUUUUGGUUACUACAUGAUUACAUGUGUGUUAUUUAAUAUUUUAUUAUUCUACAAUGUAGAAAAUAGUCAAAAUAAAGAAAACCCCUUGAA